This 301-nucleotide ribosomal RNA is filed under the name uncultured bacterium. RNAcentral describes it as "partial 16S ribosomal RNA". It matches the Rfam family "Bacterial small subunit ribosomal RNA", at positions 509 to 807 of the family's 1533-position model. The record is from RNAcentral.
CAGUAGCCACGGUAAUACGUAGGGUCCGAGCGUUGUCCGGAAUUAUUGGGCGUAAAGGGCUCGUAGGCGGUUUGUUGCGUCGGGAGUGAAAACCCAGGGCUUAACUUUGGGCUUGCUUUCGAUACGGGCAGACUUGAGGCAUUGAGGGGAGAACGGAAUUCCUGGUGUAGCGGUGAAAUGCGCAGAUAUCAGGAGGAACACCGGUGGCGAAGGCGGUUCUCUGGCAAUGUUCUGACGCUGAGGAGCGAAAGUGUGGGGAGCGAACAGGAUUAGAUACCCGUGUAGUCCCUGUCUCUUAUAC